Long non-coding RNA from Tetranychus urticae (two-spotted spider mite), 455 nucleotides. RefSeq lists it as uncharacterized. Lineage: Eukaryota; Metazoa; Arthropoda; Arachnida; Trombidiformes; Tetranychidae. The record is from RefSeq and is a predicted model, not a curated record.
UAGGUAUAGAUUAAGCUGGUGAAUAAUUGUCUAACUGCCAUGUAGCCGAUAAUUCUAAUAGAUUUGAAUUUCUCAAGAGGUUAUUACAAUAUGUUUUCUACCUAAAUCUUUUUAUCUAUUACUGUGAAUCCCAAUUCUUUUGAUUCUGGGUAUGGAUUUAAAGUCAAAAACUCGGAGGUAAAAGAUGGAAGUAGGAAAAAGUGUAGGAUUCAAGAGUCGGGUUUUGACAGUUGAAGAUACAUUUGAACUUAUUUUUCUUGAAAACAUAAUCGAUAAAAAUUUCAAGUUGGUAUUUAAGGAUAUAAUAGAAAGCGAUCAGCUUUUUGAAGCGAUAAAAUAGGAAAGGAUAACGAAUCUUGAAGAUGGACUGAAAAAAGGACGACCCAUGAGCAGUUUUUCAUGCUUAUUUAUUUUUUAUUUUCAUUUUUUUAUUCUCUUAAAAUUUUUAGUUUUUA